This 65-nucleotide transfer RNA is filed under the name Pyganodon grandis (giant floater mussel). RNAcentral describes it as "tRNA-Asp". Lineage: Eukaryota; Metazoa; Mollusca; Bivalvia; Unionida; Unionidae. The record is from RNAcentral.
AGAAGGUUAGUCUUUAUAAGAUACAGGGUUGUCAACCUUGAGAGGUUAGCAAAUAACACCUUCUU